This 253-nucleotide ribosomal RNA is filed under the name uncultured bacterium. RNAcentral's name for it is "partial 16S ribosomal RNA". It matches the Rfam family "Bacterial small subunit ribosomal RNA", at positions 524 to 776 of the family's 1533-position model. The record is from RNAcentral.
UACGGAGGGUGCAAGCGUUAAUCGGAAUCACUGGGCGUAAAGCGCACGUAGGCGGCUGGGUAAGUCAGAUGUGAAAGCCCCGGGCUCAACCUGGGAACUGCAUUUGAUACUGCUCGGCUCGAGUCUGAUAGAGGGGGGUGGAAUUCCAGGUGUAGCGGUGAAAUGCGUAGAUAUCUGGAGGAACAUCAGUGGCGAAGGCGGCCCCCUGGAUCAAGACUGACGCUGAGGUGCGAAAGCGUGGGGAGCAAACAGG